AUACCUUUCUCAGCCUUUUGGCUAAGAUCAAGUAUAGUAUCUGUUCUUAUCAGUUUGAUAUCUGAUAUUGUGAGGCACUGCUUCACGAUGAUAUAUUGAACUAAUUUUUUUGUGGGAAAGGAGUCACAAUAGUGGCAUUGCCACUUGGUUUCCUUGGGCGUCGCUCAAGCAUUGCACUAUAGCUUGGGCUUGGCGCACCCAAC
This 203-nucleotide small nuclear RNA is filed under the name Sorghum bicolor (sorghum). RNAcentral describes it as "snRNA U2". It matches the Rfam family "U2 spliceosomal RNA". From Rfam's summary of the family: U2 is a small nuclear RNA (snRNA) component of the spliceosome (involved in pre-mRNA splicing). Complementary binding between U2 snRNA (in an area lying towards the 5' end but 3' to hairpin I) and the branchpoint sequence (BPS) of the intron results the bulging out of an unpaired adenosine, on the BPS, which initiates a nucleophilic attack at the intronic 5' splice site, thus starting the first of two transesterification reactions that mediate splicing. The record is from Rfam by way of RNAcentral. Lineage: Eukaryota; Viridiplantae; Streptophyta; Magnoliopsida; Poales; Poaceae.